Molecule: long non-coding RNA, 817 nt
Organism: Rosa rugosa (rugosa rose)
Lineage: Eukaryota; Viridiplantae; Streptophyta; Magnoliopsida; Rosales; Rosaceae
Exons: 2
Source: RefSeq, a predicted model, not a curated record
UUUCUUCAUCAAAGUUGUUAAUCUCUGUCUCUUAUAUCUUAUCUCCAAAUUUCAGCCCUGUUGGAGCAGUUUUGAGACCUGUAUAACAUUUGAAGUGCGAUCUGUUCAGAAGCAAAUUUGCUCCGAAUUUCAACAAGAUGUCGAAUGAACCUAGACUCGAUUUUCCAAUGCUUGACUCAACAGGCUCGGAAUACCAUGGCUGGGUAACCAACGUUGAGAACCAUCUCACUACGAGAGGGAUAUUGCCCAUAAUACAGGCACCUAACCAGGGCCUUGUGUUCCAACGAACACCCACAAAGCAUGCUGCUCAAGUAAUUAUCUUGAUGUGAUACCAUAUGGAUCAAUUGAAGCAUUGGUUCAAGCAAUGCCAUGCAAGUACCCAACUAGCUGCAAGCUACAAGGAGUAUAGGCAAUUGAGAGAGCAAGAAAUCAAUCUUGCUGAAGAUGAAGAUAUCAAUCUUGCUGAAGAUGAAGAUGGUGAAGAUAUCACUCUCACCACUGAGGACUUCAAAGUUGUAAAGAGCACGAGGAUGCCGCAGACUUUGAUUAGAAUAGUCCUUUUCUAUUUUCCAAUAAAACGGCAAAUGUGCCUUAGUCAACAAAUGACAAUUGUAUUGACUCUUUCUCAUGUGGCGUACCCAAUGAAGUAUGAUGUCUAGGAAAGUAAUUGAGAUCGGGGUAUUUAAGCGAGCCUCGCUCCACCAACAUCUCUCUACUUCCCUGGUCAUAUUUCAUUGGAAUUACCAAACGGAUUGGCAAUUACAAUUUGUAUAAGUUUGAUUUUAUUUUGGAAUAGAUUUUGGAAACUUUGAUGUAA